UUGUCUUUUAAAUAAAGACUAGUAUGAACGGCUAAAUGAGGACAGAUCUGUCUCUUACAACUGACCAGUGAAACUGAUCUUCAAGUCCAAAAGCUUGAAUAAACACAUAAGACGAGAAGACCCUGUGGAGCUUCAAACCCAUACUAUAACAACCAAAAUAGCACCGGUUUUAAGUUGGGGCGACUUCGGAACACAACCUAACUUCCGAGCACAGGACCAUCAUACCCUCACCAAGACCGACAGGUCAAAGAAAAAUCCGACCCAGUCAUACUGACCAACGAACCAAGUUACCCCAGGGAUAACAGCGCUAUCUUCUUCAAGAGUCCCUAUCGACAAGAAGGUUUACGACCUCGAUGUUGGAUCAGGACACCCAAAUGGUGCAGCAACUAUUAAUGGUUCGUUUGUUCAACGAUU
Molecule: ribosomal RNA, 414 nt
Filed under: Cryptoblepharus boutonii (snake-eyed skink)
Lineage: Eukaryota; Metazoa; Chordata; Lepidosauria; Squamata; Scincidae
Description: partial 16S ribosomal RNA
Rfam family: Bacterial large subunit ribosomal RNA
Source: RNAcentral